This 468-nucleotide ribosomal RNA is filed under the name uncultured bacterium. Its description in RNAcentral is "partial 16S ribosomal RNA". It matches the Rfam family "Bacterial small subunit ribosomal RNA", at positions 28 to 507 of the family's 1533-position model. The record is from RNAcentral.
GACGAACGCUGGCGGCGUGCUUAACACAUGCAAGUCGAACGGAAAGGCCCUGCUUUUGUGGGGUGCUCGAGUGGCGAACGGGUGAGUAACACGUGAGUAACCUGCCCUUGCCUUUGGGAUAACUUCAGGAAACUGGAGCUAAUACCGGAUAGGAGCUCCUGCUGCAUGGUGGGGGUUGGAAAGUUUCGGCGGUUGGGGAUGGACUCUCGGCUUAUCAGCUUGUUGGUGGGGUAGUGGCUUACCAAGGCUUUGACGGGUAGCCGGCCUGAGCGGGUGACCGGCCACAUUGGGACUGAGAUACGGCCCAGACUCCUACGGGAGUCAGCAGUGGGGAAUAUUGUACUAUGGGCGGAAGCCGUAUGCAGCAACGCCGCGUGCGGGAUGACGGCCUUCCGGUUGUAAACCGCUUUCGCCUGGGACGAAGCGUGAGUGACGGUAAUUGGUAAAGAAGCACCGGCUAACUACGUG